GUCCACGCCCUAAACGAUGAACACUAGGUGUGGGGUGCAAAGCAUUCCGUGCCGCAGCUAACGCAAUAAGUGUUCCACCUGGGGGAGUACGGCCGCAAGGUUGAAACUCAAAGGAAUUGACGGGAGCCCGCACAAGCAGUGGAGUAUGUGGUUUAAUUCGACGCAACGCGAAAAACCUUACCAAGGAUUGACAUCCAGAGAAGACCGAGUAAUGUUGGUUGUGCCCUUCGGGGAACUCUGAGACAGGUGGUGCAUGGUUGUCGU
This 264-nucleotide ribosomal RNA is filed under the name uncultured bacterium. Its description in RNAcentral is "partial 16S ribosomal RNA". It matches the Rfam family "Bacterial small subunit ribosomal RNA", at positions 793 to 1055 of the family's 1533-position model. The record is from RNAcentral.